This is a long non-coding RNA of Nematostella vectensis (starlet sea anemone), 250 nucleotides long. RefSeq lists it as uncharacterized. The record is from RefSeq and is a predicted model, not a curated record. Lineage: Eukaryota; Metazoa; Cnidaria; Anthozoa; Actiniaria; Edwardsiidae. The transcript has 2 exons.
AAAAGACUGUUUAAAAGCAUGGUUGAAAGUUUUGAAAAGUCAAGUCUUGUGCUCGAGUCAAGGUCACCUGAAAUGUCAGAGUAAGCCACAAGAUAAAACAAGCUAAUUUUAUGGACACCUUCUCCGACAAGUGCUCCUAUGUAUUUGUUCUUGCACUGGCAGACGUGGGUUAAUCUCAGCCAGAGAUUCUGAAAUCAAGCUGAGACACAAGCUGCUGGCUAAGAGGCAUGACCCAGGGCAGGAUGUACAU